This 492-nucleotide ribosomal RNA is filed under the name uncultured bacterium. RNAcentral's name for it is "partial 16S ribosomal RNA". It matches the Rfam family "Bacterial small subunit ribosomal RNA", at positions 29 to 507 of the family's 1533-position model. The record is from RNAcentral.
AGUGAACGCUGGCGGUAGGCCUAACACAUGCAAGUCGAACGGCAGCACAGUAAGAGCUUGCUCUUACGGGUGGCGAGUGGCGGACGGGUGAGGAAUACAUCGGAAUCUACUUUUUCGUGGGGGAUAACGUAGGGAAACUUACGCUAAUACCGCAUACGACCUACGGGUGAAAGCAGGGGAUCUUCGGACCUUGCGCGAUUGAAUGAGCCGAUGUCGGAUUAGCUAGUUGGCGGGGUAAAGGCCCACCAAGGCGACGAUCCGUAGCGGGUCUGAGAGGAUGAUCAGCCACACUGGAACUGAGACACGGUCCAGACUCCUACGGGAGGCAGCAGUGGGGAAUAUUGGACAAGGGGCGAGAGCCUGAUCCAGCCAUACCGCGUGGGUGAAGAAGGCCUUCGGGUUGGAAAGCCCUUUUGUUGGGAAAGAAAAGCAGCAGGUUAAUACCCCGCUGUUCUGACGGUACCCAAAGAAUAAGCACCGGCUAACUUCGUG